UACGAAGGGGGCUAGCGUUGCUCGGAGUUACUGGGCGUAAAGCGCACGUAGGCGGAUUGUUAAGUCGGGGGUGAAAUCCUGGAGCUCAACUCCAGAACUGCCUUCGAUACUGGCGAUCUCGAGUUCGGGAGAGGUGAGUGGAACUGCGAGUGUAGAGGUGAAAUUCGUAGAUAUUCGCAAGAACACCAGUGGCGAAGGCGGCUCACUGGCCCGAUACUGACGCUGAGGUGCGAAAGCGUGGGGAGCAAACAGG
Molecule: ribosomal RNA, 253 nt
Filed under: uncultured bacterium
Lineage: Bacteria
Description: partial 16S ribosomal RNA
Rfam family: Bacterial small subunit ribosomal RNA
Source: RNAcentral